This is an RNA transcript of Antechinus flavipes (yellow-footed antechinus), 1026 nucleotides long. It is a transcript of the gene named chymase-like, with no coding region annotated. NCBI's taxonomy places the organism in Eukaryota, Metazoa, Chordata, Mammalia, Dasyuromorphia, Dasyuridae. The record is from RefSeq and is a predicted model, not a curated record. The transcript is spliced from 6 exons.
GGAGAGAGCUGGAGCAAAAGCAGCAUCUGCUCUGUGUAUCCUCUCUGGGAAGAUGAAGCUCCUCCUCCUCCUCCUCCUCUUGCUGACUUUUCUUCUGUCUCAUGAGACUGGAGCUGAUGAGAUUAUUGGGGGGAAAGAAUCAAGGCCCCAUUCCCAUCCUUACAUGGCUUUUCUGGAUAUCAUACGUGGUAAUACAUGGGACUACUGUGGUGGUUUCCUGAUUCACAGGGAGUUUGUGAUGACAGCAGCCCAUUGUGCAGGAGACUUCAUCAUAGUCAAACUUGGAGCACAUAACAUCAGAUACCCAGAAGAGACUUGGCAGACCAUUAAUGUCAGGCGUCAAAUUCCUCACCCAGAAUAUAAUGGCACAAGGUUUCUCAAUGACAUCAUGUUACUACAGCUGGAACAUGAAGCCAUACUGACAACAGCAGUAUGGCCCGUCCCCCUGGGCUCCAGAUUUGAUUGGAUCUCACCUGGGCAAGAAUGUCUAGCAGUUGGCUGGGGAAGGACAGGACAACUGCCCCCGGGAUCAGACACUUUACAGGAGGUGGAACUGACACUAAGGAAUUCCAGUGACUGCAUAGAUUUUGGCUCUUUUGAUGAGAGAUCCCAGUGGUGUGUAGGGAAUCCCAACUCAAGGAAAUCAGUAUUUAAAGGAGAUUCUGGAGGACCCCUCCUUUGUUUCGGUGUGGCCCAAGGAAUUGCCUCCUAUGCACACAAAGAUGCAACACCACCUUCAGGCUUCACAAAAAUUGCUCAUUACCGCUCCUGGAUCGACUCCUGGAUCUACCAAAUCCUAAAAGCAAAUUAGCCCCUGUGGCCCUGGCUCAGCAAAAAGGAAUCUCCCUCCUAGGGCCCAGCCUCCUCUCUGGGACUGUCCUCACACUAGGACUGUCCCCCUCCCUGCCCAGCUUCAUCCCAGAGUCCAAGAUGUGUGGGGGAGGGGAGGAAGGUAAAGGGUAUGAAGAGUUACUCUGGACAUUGAACUGAGGGUCGACUGUGACUGCAAUAAACCGAAGCAUCCAA